This 495-nucleotide ribosomal RNA is filed under the name uncultured bacterium. RNAcentral describes it as "partial 16S ribosomal RNA". It matches the Rfam family "Bacterial small subunit ribosomal RNA", at positions 28 to 507 of the family's 1533-position model. The record is from RNAcentral.
GACGAACGCUGGCGGCGUGCCUAAUACAUGCAAGUCGAACGCUGAAGGAGGAGCUUGCUUCUCUGGAUGAGUUGCGAACGGGUGAGUAACGCGUAGGUAACCUGCCUGGUAGCGGGGGAUAACUAUUGGAAACGAUAGCUAAUACCGCAUAAGAGUAGAUGUUGCAUGACAUUUACUUAAAAGGUGCAAUUGCAUCACUACCAGAUGGACCUGCGUUGUAUUAGCUAGUUGGUGAGGUAACGGCUCACCAAGGCAACGAUACAUAGCCGACCUGAGAGGGUGAUCGGCCACACUGGGAGUGAGACACGGCCCAGACUCCUACGGGAGGCAGCAGUAGGGAAUCUUCGGCAAUGGACGGAAGUCUGACCGAGCAACGCCGCGUGAGUGAAGAAGGUUUUCGGAUCGUAAAGCUCUGUUGUAAGAGAAGAACGAGUGUGAGAGUGGAAAGUUCACACUGUGACGGUAUCUUACCAGAAAGGGACGGCUAACUACGUG